GUAAUAAUUUGGUAGAUUUAAUUCCAUAGCACUUGCACAGUGAGAAAGAUAUUUUGUGAGGCAUAAAUCAGUUAGCUUGAAAUAAGUUAAAUUUAUGUGUUUCACAGAUUUGGUAUACUGUAUUUUUAAAUACAUGCUUGAUAUUUUUAUGAUGCAAGUUUAUUUAUGUAAACUUCAUAAUUUACAGUCAAUUUCCAUGGACAUUUUUGUUAAAUGAGGGAUUAUUGCCACAUCACUUAUUCCCAUAGAAUGAGUGUCAUACACAUACAUAUACAUGUAUAUCUAAAGCUUAGAUUCUGGCAAUAAAAUGGAGGUGAUCGACAUCUAAGAACCCA
This is a long non-coding RNA of Ostrea edulis (European flat oyster), 335 nucleotides long. RefSeq lists it as uncharacterized. The transcript has 2 exons. The record is from RefSeq and is a predicted model, not a curated record. NCBI's taxonomy places the organism in Eukaryota, Metazoa, Mollusca, Bivalvia, Ostreida, Ostreidae.